This 307-nucleotide unclassified non-coding RNA is filed under the name uncultured Arachnomyces. RNAcentral describes it as "sequence contains ITS1". The stretch from base 1 to 105 matches the Rfam family "5.8S ribosomal RNA", at positions 50 to 154 of the family's 154-position model. The record is from RNAcentral. Lineage: Eukaryota; Fungi; Ascomycota; Eurotiomycetes; Onygenales.
GAAAUGCGAUAAGUAAUGUGAAUUGCAGAAUUCAGUGAAUCAUCGAAUCUUUGAACGCACAUUGCGCCCUCUGGUAUUCCGGGGGGCAUGCCUGUCCGAGCGUCAUUACUGCCCUCAAGCGCGGCUUGUGUGUUGGGCGCCGUCCCCCCUGGGGGACGGGCCCGAAAGGCAGUGGCGGCGCCGUGCCCGGUCCUCGAGCGUAUGGGGCUCUGUCACCCGCUCUGGAGGCCCGGCCGGCGGCCGCCGAUCCAACCCCAACCUUUAACCGGUUGACCUCGGAUCAGACAGGGAUACCCGCUGAACUUAA